AACGCGAAGAACCUUACCUGCCCUUGACAUCCGGAUGACCGGCAAGUAAUGUUGCCCUCUCUUCGGAGCAUCCGAGACAGGUGGUGCAUGGUUGUCGUCAGCUCGUGUCGUGAGAUGUUGGGUUAAGUCCCGCAACGAGCGCAACCCUUAUCUUCAGUAGCCAGCGGUAAGGCCGGGCACUCUGGAGAGACUGCCAGGGAUAACCUGGAGGAAGGUGGGGAUGACGUCAAAUCAUCAUGCCCCUUAUGGGCAGGGCUACACACGUGCUACAAUGGCGUAAACAAAGGGAAGCAAUCGCGCGAGCGUGAGCAAAUCUCAAAAAUAACGUCUCAGUUCGGAUUGUAGUCUGCAACUCGACUACGUGAAGCUGGAAUCGCUAGUAAUCGCGAAUCAGAAUGCCACGGUGAAUACGUUCCCGGGUCUUGUACACACCG
This 434-nucleotide ribosomal RNA is filed under the name uncultured bacterium. RNAcentral's name for it is "bacterial SSU rRNA". It matches the Rfam family "Bacterial small subunit ribosomal RNA", at positions 958 to 1392 of the family's 1533-position model. The record is from RNAcentral.